This 9256-nucleotide unclassified non-coding RNA is filed under the name Ceratitis capitata (Mediterranean fruit fly). RNAcentral's name for it is "probable ubiquitin carboxyl-terminal hydrolase FAF, transcript variant X3". Lineage: Eukaryota; Metazoa; Arthropoda; Insecta; Diptera; Tephritidae. The record is from RNAcentral.
CAAAUGACGUUUUCUGUCCAAAGAACUCGGCAAGUUUUUUGCAACGAUUCCCGAAAAGUGUCGACUGAUAUUUGUAAAACGACGCAAAGGGAAUUUGUAAUAAAUAAAUAUUGAAAUUUACUUAAAACGUAAUACAGAAUAUUCAGCAAGAACGAACCCGUUAAAAUUCGUGAAAAUUGGGAUUAGUGAGGCAUUUCAGAUUUUUAAAAAUUACGUGAAAAUAGCAAAGGCAGUAAGUACAAAAGAAAAAACCAAAGGGAAUCUGUGAAGAGUCUAGCAAGGAAUAUAAUAUUUCACCACAGUUGCUGAGUCGCCAUUUUGUCUACUGGCCGGCUGAUUUUGGUUUCGGUAUACGAAAAAAUUGCAAAUUUCUUAAAAAAUUGAAAUUAAAAAUAUAGUGACGGUUAAGUUAAAACAAAGAACAUAUAAUUAAAAUAAUCCGGACAUAAGUGUUCAAUAAAGAUUUGUUGAAUAGUUCAACCAGAGGGUGUUCGUAUAGUGGUAAAAAAUUUGCAAAAAUCAAGACAAAGCGGAAUCCGAGUGCAAUCCAAUGGUAAUUGGGCGGAUGCAGAAAUUGUUAAUGGAUUUAAGCUUAUUCCUGUUGAAUAUGUAAAUGAUCGAAGGUCUGCUGACCGAAAGCAACACCAUACAGUACUUCGUGUUUAGCAAAAGGUCAAGCGAAACGAUAGAGCAGAAAUUAAUAUUUAAAUUAACUAUAAUUCAAUUACAAAAGAAAGAAGCAAUAAUCAGAACGAGAAGUAACGACCGAGCCUAGAAUUAAAAUACGAGCUAGCAGUUUCUAACACGGCGUGGUGUAAUAGUUGCAUCAACAUUUACAUCGUGGAUCCUGAAUAGAGCAGUAGUUGCAUUUAAUAAUCAAAGUGCAGCAGUAUUAGUGCCUCUGAUAGCUACGAGAAAGAAAAUGACGUUCGAUACACGUGGACGCCAAACAGGUGGUGGUGGAGGCGGUGGUAGUACCGGUAACGAUAAUUCUAAUGUGGGUACGACCAACACAAACAGUAACCCAAAUACUACUAGUGGAACGUCUCUUGGUAAUUCUACCAGCGGAAAUGGCAGUGGUGGGGUUGUUGGCAGUGGAAAUGUAGAACAACCUCCGCCUUCUGCGGUUAAUUCGGAUGCAACUGCGCAGAGUGGCGAAUCGACAAACAACGCUGUAGUAGUGGACAACAUUUCACCAGAAAAAUUGAUUUUAUCGUUCCCCACUUUAAAAUUGCGUUCGUUAACGCAGAAGAUCUCAAAUCCACGUUGGGUGGUGCCAGUACUUCCUGAACAAGAGUUGGAAGUUCUACUUAAUGCUGCAAUUGCACUAACUUCAGCAGGGGUGGAUCAUGAUUGUGAGCCCUGUGUUGAAUUCUAUCGUAAUGCACUCACUACUUCUUUUUCAAAAAUCCUUACCGACGAGGCGGUGAAUUCAUGGAAGUACAAUAUACAUCAUUGCAUUUUAUUGUCGUGUGGCAAGUUAUUGCAUUUAAUUGCCAUACAUAUGCCGCGUGAUAAUCCCUAUCUAUUGGACUUGCUAGCUAUGGUAUUUGAUCCAGAAAAUAAGUUUAACACAUUUAAUGCAGCACGUCAACCAGGCUGUUUUGCCGCACCUGAAUUCCUUUGGGGCUCUUUGGAUGUAAAUAAUAUGUUUGCUAAACCACCACCGGAGCCAAAAAAUCCACGUGGUUGGCUAGUUGAUUUGAUCAAUCGUUUUGGUCAGCUGGGGGGUUUCGACAAUCUACUGGAACGAUUCAAUUGUGGCUUACAAUUGUUGAAAAAGACCCAAGAACAGAGUGGUAUCGAAGCGACAGGAUCUGGCAUAGAAUUAAGUAGCAAGACGAGCAAGUCGAUGCAAGCAUCAGAAGACAGUCAGGAUAACAAAUUGACGCUUGCGUUAAUUUUCAGUCUAUUACGCCCUUUCGGGCAGUGCUAUGAACUAUUAACACCGGCUACUAUUGCUAAGUACUUUAUGCCUAUUUGGAAUGUAGUAUUGGAUUUAUUAGAUAGCUUUUCGGAUGAUGAAUUAAAGCGUGAAGCGAAACCAGAAGGGCGGAAUGACUAUAUCAAUGGCAUUGUGAAGUCAGCCCGUUUGUUAGCAAGUCGUUUGCCGGGGCAAGAGGAUUUAAUUAGAGAUCUAGAAAUGUUUCGUCUCAAAAUGAUACUACGUCUGUUGCAAGUAUCCAGCUUCAAUGGAAAAAUGAAUGCGUUGAAUGAAAUCAAUAAGGUUCUAAGUUCUGUCUCAUAUUAUUCCCAUCGCACGCAACAGUUACAACACUGUCUACCAGAUGAUGAAAUGGAUUGGUUGACGGCAGAGCGCAUGGCUAACUGGAUUAAAGAAUCUGAUGUCCUCGGUAUUGUCCUGAAAGAUUCACUACAUCAACCCCAAUAUGUGGAGAAAUUGGAGAAGAUUAUACGCUUUUUGAUUAAGGAACAUGCACUGUCACUAGAGGACUUAGAUGCAGUUUGGCGUGCCCAGGCUGGCAAACAUGAGGCAAUUGUAAAGAACGUUCACGAUCUUUUGGCUAAAUUGGCUUGGGAUUUCACACCAGAGCAAUUAGAUCAUCUUUUCGAGUCGUUUCAGGCCAGCAUGACAACCGCUAAUAAACGUCAACGUGAGCGACUGCUUGAAUUGAUAAGACGCCUUGCCGAAGACGAUAAGAAUGGUGUUAUGGCGCAAAAAGUUUUGAAGCUUUUCUGGGCAUUGGCUCAUAGCCAAGAAAUUCCGCCAGAAGUCUUAGAUCAAGCCCUAGGUGCGCAUGUCAAAAUUUUAGACUACAGUUGCUCACAAGAACGUGAUGCCCAAAAAAUUGUCUGGUUAGAUAAAUGUGUACAGGAAUUGAAAACUGGCGAUAAUUGGGUAUUGCCCGCUUUGCGUUUAAUACGUGAAAUCUGUUGUCUCUACGAUUCAUCGUCCGGCCAUGCACAACGCACGCAGCAAACACUCAAUCGUCAACAAGUUAUCGAGCGUUUGCAAAAUGACUACACGUUGGUAAUACUAGUGACGAACAGUUUGACAACUUAUAUGGACAAAAUACGAACUAUGAUUGCUGAGAUGCCGAACGUGGAGCCAAACACUUUAUGCAUCGAUGGACGCUAUCCACAUAAUAUGCAAAUCCAAGAGCGCUUAGAUUUUCUAAAGUUUUUACUGAAAGAUGGGCAACUUUGGUUAUGUGCGGAACAGGCUAAGCAAAUAUGGCACUGUUUGGCCGUCAAUGCUGUGUUUCCAACUGAUCGUGAAGAAUGUUUUCGCUGGUUUGGCAAAUUAAUGGGUGAAGAACCCGACUUGGAUCCCGGCAUAAAUAAAGACUUUUUCGAAAACAACAUCCUUCAGUUAGAUCCACAAUUGCUAACGGAAAGUGGCAUUAAAUGUUUUGAGCGUUUCUUCAAGGCUGUCAACUCAAAGGAGGAUAAAUUGAAAGCAAUUCAUCGUGGCUAUAUACUUGAUAAUGAAGAUCUUAUUGGUAAGGAUUAUCUAUGGCGUGUAAUUACCACUGGUGGUGAGGAAAUCGCCAAUAAAGCUAUUGAUCUGCUGAAAGAAGUCUCAACCGCACUGGGGCCACGUCUGCAGGAGAGUAUUUGUGAUUUUCAUGAAAUGUUUAUUGCUGAAUGCUGUGAACGUCUGCGCACCCAUUACAGUAAUAUACUCAUUUUGGGCAAAACAAUUGGUAGCAAUAGUUCAAAUGAUCCCAGUCAAGCUGAUGCUGAUUCAAAAGAUAUUAAAGAUCGUUUUAUUGAGGCUGAGAAAAUGUGCCGUAUUAUAAAAGUAUUGCAAGAGUAUAUAAAAGAGUGUGAUCGAUCAUUUAAUGGCGAUCGUUACCUUUUGCCACUAAGUCGAGUGACACGCGGUAAGAAUACUAGUCUAUAUAUACGCUUUCAAAAUCCCGGGCGCCCUAUCGACGAUAUCGAAGUAGCGACACACAGUAACGAAACGGUCGCUUCGUUUAAACGUAAUUUAUUGAAACGUAUAAAAGGCAAUUCGCCAGCAAAUAUUAAGGUCGAUCUGUUCUACAAUACUGGCGAAUUAAUUGAGAUUAAUGACGAAAUCAAUCCACUAUACCAAUAUGGCAUACGCGAUAAAAUGAUUCUGACAGCAAAGUUGACACCAAUCGGACCGGGACUAGCUAGUAGCCCAGAUUCAUCAAGUGAUUCCAGUACCGGGUCACCGCCACGACCUUGCCCUGACAUGCAGCGCGUCGAGUCGGAGAGCACGCUGCCUGGUGUGAUUAUCGCGCAGAAUUACAAAUAUACGGAAUUUUUCCUAAAGCUCUAUCAACUGGGCAGCGAUCUGGAUCAUGGCCGUUUGCGUGAAAGCGCAAAAUCGUUGUUGCAUCUGCUACCGUGCGAUUGGCAUACCAUCAAGAUGCUGCAAACGAUGUGCCGCGUGCAGGGACAGGCUCCGAGCGGUGGCGGUGGUGUUAGUGGCAGUGGCAAUGUCAGUGUCAGUGUAAAUGUGAGUGCGGAGUCUAGUAGUGGCAACAGUGGUGGACAAAUUAGCGCUAAAGAGGAAGAGGCUGAUGUGGUUGGUGUGGGAAACGGCAGUGUUGUUGUACAAAAUGCAAGCGAUGAUCAGAUUCAUCUGCAGGAAUGCACGCCGGAAAUGAUAUUUUUGCAUGGCUCUCCUGCACAGGUGCUAUAUAAUUUGGGGGUUUUAAAUGGAUUACUUAUACCAGCAUUAGAUCCCUACGGUGAGGCUGCAAUGCAAGUGCAAUCGGCUUGGUUGCAUUCCGGUUGCGCACAUUUUAUACUAGAAUUGUUGACCAAAAACAAUUUCCUACCCAAUGCCGAUAUGCAUACCAAGCGUGCUGCCUUCCAUUGCGUACUUCAUCUCGCUCGAUUAUUCCUAUAUACGGUGGGCUAUGUGUUAUCCCGUGUCGGCGAUGAACCGAUGUUACGUGAUUUUGAUGUGGGUGCCCGUUCACAAGUUGAAAUACUUAAGCAAAUACUGAAUUCCAUACCAAACAACUCGGAAAGCACCAUGCGUGCCAUCUCUAUGAAACUGGCAGAAAAUUUGGCUGCUGAAAUGCUUUCUGCUAGUGCCGAGGGUGAACGUUGUCGCAUUUUAUUCAGCUCGACAUUGCAGUGGUCCUGCCCGGAUAUAACGACUAUUAAGGCUGUCAUACAAUUGGCUUGGUCCUCAUCUUGUGGCAACUUACAGGCACUUGGAAAUAAAAAUGACUUUGCUAACGACAUCACAAUGCCAGAUGCACAAGAUUUUGCCAUGUGUAAAGAGGCUCUAGAAGUGCUAACGAUUUCAUUGGUACUUAAUCCUAGUGCUAACGAGGUGUUAAACAAUGAUCCUGUAUGGCCUAAGUUUAUCACUUCGCUUAUAUUAAAGAAUCCAUCGCGCCACGUGCGUCAAAUUGCGGCCGAUCAGCUGUUUCUUUCGUGCACCUACUGCGCUGGCGAUCGACGCCCUUUUGCAUACAUGGUAAAUCUGUUAGUUAAUUCAUUGAAGACUUUGGUGCCACAAUACGAAGCGACAUGCGCCGAAUUCUUUCAAUUACUUUCUCGAACACUUUCGUAUGGCAGCGUCUGCAAUUGGCCGCUGAAUAUUGGUGAUGGUUUGUUGACUGAGGAGAUUAGUUGGUUGCAGAAGAUACGGCAAAAUGUUGUGAUUACUGGCGAUAUUCAAGUACAUGAGGAUCUGCUGGAAGGUCACUUGUGUUUGGCCAAAGAAUUGAUGUUCUUCUUAUCGCCCGAAACGAAAGCACAACUCACUGACUUGAUAGGUGAAAUCAUUGACAUUUUCCUCUUUCCGUCAUCACGCGAAUACCUUCACUUGCGAAAGUUCAACAAACUACGGAACCCAACAUCACCACCACCCGUUUGCCGCAGUCCACACACCAUAGCGGCGGCGUGUGAUUUUUUGAUAGCACUUUGCCAGAAUUGUGUUCCUAACAUGAAAUUGCUAACCAAUACUUUGAUCGAUUUUGUCUGCACAGAUACUGAGCCGCUGCGGGAAUGGGAUUUUCUACCUCCGGUUGGGCCUAGACCUGUGAAGGGUUUCUGUGGUUUAAAAAAUGCUGGUGCAACUUGCUAUAUGAAUUCGGUGUUGCAACAAUUGUAUAUGGUGCCAUCCAUACGUGUCGGCAUACUGAAGGCCGACGGUGCUGCUUUGAUUGAGAAUGAAGAUUUUAGCGGCGAAUCCGAUGUGGCUAGUAUUAACAGUGCGCUAUUCUCCAGCCCAACCAGCGGUGAAGAUAAUAGUAGCACAGAUGUGCGGAAAAACUAUCACGUUCUCAUAUUGAAAUAUGUACAAGCGAUAUUUGCCCAUUUGGGACAUAGCUCUCUGCAGUACUACGUGCCACGUGGUUUGUGGGCAUAUUUUAAAUUACAAGGUGAGCCGGUAAAUUUACGCGAACAACAAGAUGCGGUUGAAUUUUUCAUGUCCUUGUUUGAAAGUCUGGAUGAAGGUCUCAAGGCUCUAGGUCAUACCCAAUUGAUGAACGCUACUUUGGGUGGGUCAUUUAGCGAUCAAAAAAUUUGCCAGGAAUGCCCGCAUAGGUAUUCCAAAGAGGAACCUUUUAGUGUGUUUAGUGUGGAUAUUCGCAAUCAUAGUUCGUUGACAGAAUCGCUGGAGCAGUAUGUGAAAGGUGAACUGUUGGAGGGCGCUGAUGCAUACCACUGUGAUAAAUGUGAUAAAAAAGUAGUUACAAUUAAGCGGUUGUGUGUAAGAAAGCUUCCGCCGGUGUUAGCCAUUCAAUUAAAACGUUUUGAAUAUGAUUAUGAGCGUGUUUGCGCCAUUAAAUUCAAUGAUUACUUUGAGUUUCCACGUGUGCUCGACAUGGAACCCUACACCGUCUCCGGCUUAGCAAAACUGGAGGGUGAAGUUAUUGAGGUGGGUGAUAACUGCCAAUCAAAUGGCGAGACGACCAAAUAUGAGUUAAGCGGUAUUGUGGUACACAGCGGACAGGCUUCUGGUGGCCAUUACUUUAGUUACAUACUUUCUAAAAAUCCCUCUACUGGUAAGGAACAAUGGUAUAAAUUCGACGAUGGCGAAGUGACUGAAUGUAAAAUGCAUGAAGACGAAGAAUUAAAAGCCCAAUGCUUUGGUGGCGAUUAUAUGGGUGAGAUUUACGAUAACAAUUUGAAGCGCAUGCAAUAUAGACGUCAAAAGCGCUGGUGGAAUGCAUAUAUGCUCUUCUAUACACGUUGUGAUCAGAAACCCAUACAAUUCGAUCCUUGUGUAGAACAGUUGUCACUGGCUGAGAGUCGUAAUUUCGUGUUGCCUCUACCAAAGGCGAUCGAACGUAGUGUACGGCAUCAAAAUAUUCGGUUUUUACACUCAAAGAGCAUUUUCUCAGCAGAAUUUUUUAAUUUCAUUAAGAAGUUAGUCAGCUGUACUAUACCUUCAACACGUCCUGACAAAAUGACACCAGCUGCCGAGGAGCUCUCAUUACUAGGCGUACAACUAGCAUCACAGUUCUUAUUCCAUACAGGUUUUCGAACGAAAAAGUCGCUACGCGGACCGGUUAUCGAGUGGUACGACACACUAUCACAUCACAUACGUUUCUCAGCUUUAGUGCGCAAAUGGUUCGCUGCCAAUGCACUUCUUAAUCCAGCUACACGUCUGGGUGAAUAUAUCUUGAUGGCUCCCUCGCCUGAGGUACGAACAGUUUUUGUGAAAUUGGUGGUUUUCUUUUGUCACUUUGCCAUAACCGACGAGCCGCUGGCUGGCUACGAAGGCAGUAAUUUAUGUGAACAGAUUUUAAUAAGCGUUUUAGAGUUAUUGAAAUGUGAAGCUGUCGAUUAUGGCAAACAUUUGCCUCAUUAUUUUAGUUUAUUCAGUAUGUAUGUGGGCUUGGGCAUACCAGAAAAGCAACAACUGUUGAAGUUAAAUGUACCCUUCAUAUUCAUGCAAGUUGCUUUGGAUGAAGGACCUGGUCCAUCGAUAAAAUAUCAGUAUCCAGAACUGAGUAAACUUCAUCAGGUCGUUUCGCAUUUAAUACGUUGCAGCGAUAUAUCUGACAAGUGUCAGAAUUCAAACCAAAAUUCACAGCCACUGGAGAAUCCGUUCAAAGAUGCAAAUAUUCGGCGCGAAGAAUUAGUGCCCUUAUCGCCUGAGUGUGCAGAUAUACUCUUUAACCGAACGGGAUACAUUAAGAAAUUAAUAGAGGACACAGCCGUUGGUGAGGAGGGCAUUAAAUUACUUCAGUAUUGCAGUUGGGAAAACCCACAUUUUUCACGUGCGGUAUUAACCGAACUACUUUGGCAAUGCGGUUUCGCUUACUGUCAUGAUAUGCGCCAUCAUACCGAACUACUUUUGCACAUAUUGCUUAUAGAAGAUUCGUGGCAACAUCAUCGCAUACACAAUGCCCUCAACGGUGUGGCGGAGGAGCGCGAAGGUCUGCUAGAGACGAUACAGCGCACAAAGACGCAUUACCAAAAACGCGCAUACCAAAUAAUCAAAUGCCUUACACAACUAUUCCACAAAUCCCAAGUGGCCCUACAGAUGCUUAAUUCAAACGCCAGUAUUGCACGGCAUUGGACCAUGGCUGUAGAAUGGUUGCAAGAUGAAUUGGAGAGGCAACGUAGUUGUCAAUAUAAUUCAUAUUCGUGGUCACCACCUGCACAGAGUAAUGACAACACAAAUGGUUACAUGCUCGAACGUUCACAAUCCGCUAAGAAUACAUGGUCUAUGGCGUAUGAGUUAUGUCCCGAAGAGGAACAAGAAGAGACCAACGAGUCGGAUAUCGAGCCUACUGACGAGUCCCAGAGGCAGCAACAACAGCAACAACAACAACAGCAAUCACAACAAAUUACACAAUCGUUACAAGCACCAACAGCUGUUGGCGAUGCGUUAACGAGUGAUACAGUACCAGCUAGUCCAGCGCACAAACCGUUUAUAGUGGGCAUGGCACCAGUUGGCAGUAGCUCCGUUAAUUGGUCGGCUGCAAAUACAUUUUCGGCUGAUAGUACAACAACAACAAUAACUACAACAACUGCCUCUACUAAUAGCGGUGGUGUUUUGACGGCCGUAAAUAGCACCGAACAACAGCAAGCCACUACAGAUGCGAGUAUAAACGGUUUAACGGCCAAUGUUAAACAAUUGGCGCUUUCUCCAAAAACGGUAAUUCCCCCCUAAAAGUCGACAGUAGCAUUUCUAAUGUACUCGUACACUCCUAAGCAUACCAGAGCAGCGGUCCACCAGCGGCGGCAUUGGUGAGACGACAACGACAAUGAUGCCUGCUCCAGACAUCGAAAUCUCGUUGAAAGUAAUGCCACAUCACCUACAGCAUCAGCAGCAGCAACC